RNAcentral lists this ribosomal RNA (408 nucleotides) under Glaesserella parasuis. RNAcentral describes it as "bacterial SSU rRNA". It matches the Rfam family "Bacterial small subunit ribosomal RNA", at positions 1 to 403 of the family's 1533-position model. Lineage: Bacteria; Pseudomonadati; Pseudomonadota; Gammaproteobacteria; Pasteurellales; Pasteurellaceae. The record is from RNAcentral.
AAAUUGAAGAGUUUGAUCAUGGCUCAGAUUGAACGCUGGCGGCAGGCUUAACACAUGCAAGUCGAACGGUAGCAGGGAGAAAGCUUGCUUUCUUUGCUGACGAGUGGCGGACGGGUGAGUAAUGCUUGGGGAUCUGGCUUAUGGAGGGGGAUAACGACGGGAAACUGUCGCUAAUACCGCGUAAUGUCUAAGGACUAGAGGGUGGGACUUUCGGGCCACCUGCCAUAAGAUGAGCCCAAGUGGGAUUAGGUAGUUGGUGGGGUAAAGGCCUACCAAGCCGACGAUCUCUAGCUGGUCUGAGAGGAUGACCAGCCACACUGGAACUGAGACACGGUCCAGACUCCUACGGGAGGCAGCAGUGGGGAAUAUUGCACAAUGGGGGGAACCCUGAUGCAGCCAUGCCGCGUG